Molecule: ribosomal RNA, 1190 nt
Filed under: Allonychiurus kimi
Lineage: Eukaryota; Metazoa; Arthropoda; Collembola; Poduromorpha; Onychiuridae
Description: 16S ribosomal RNA
Rfam family: Archaeal large subunit ribosomal RNA (bases 959-1117)
Source: RNAcentral
UAAGAGAAUUUAAGGAAAUUAAUGUUGUUAAAAAAUAAGUAUUUUUAAGAAAAUAAAUUAGUUAAAAUUAUAAAAUUGUAAUGAAAAAUUAAAAAUUUAUUAUAGAAAAAAUUACCUUUUGUAUUAGGGUGGUUUAAAAUAUUUUAAAAUUUUACAUUUCCCGAAUGAGUAAGGGUUAAGAGUGAAGUUAAGUAUGUUUAAUAAUAUUAAUAAAAAUUUACUUUUGGAGUUGAAAUAGUAGUCGGUUACUUAGGUAUCUGGUUUUGUUAACAUAAACAUAGUUUAUUUAUUUAUUUGAUUAAAUUAAGUAUUAAAUAGAUUUAGAUACUUAAAAAUUAUUAAAUGGAUAAGCAUUUAAUAAAAUAAUAACAUUUAACAGUAAAGAAAUUUAAGUAGGCUUGAAAACAGGUUUCUUGGAAAAAGUUAUAUUAAAGAUUUAAUAAUAAAUUAUUUAAUUUUGUUUUAUAGGAUUAAUAAAUAAAUAAAUAAUGAUUUUAUAAAAAUAAUGAAGUAAUAAGUAAAUUAAUUUAAUAAUAAUUAAUUAAUAAUUAUAUAAGUUUAUAAAUUUGACAAAUUUUUCUUUGACUGUUUAACAAAAACAUUUCUUUUAGGUAUAAAUUAUAAGUAAGGUCUGCCCACUGAAUUUUAAAGGGCCGCAGUAUUAUGACUGUGCGAAGGUAGCAUAAUCAUUAGUUUCUUAAUUAGAGAAUGGAAUGAAUGACUAAACAUAGAAUUAUUUUAUUAGUUUAUAAAAUUGAAUUUAAAUUUAUAGUGAAAAUGCUUUAAUGAUUAAAAAAGACGAUAAGACCCUUUAGAGUUUUAUUAAAUAGAUAAAAAUAGUAAAUUAUAUUAAUUUAAUUUUUCUGGGGCAGAAUAAGGAAAUAUAAAACUCCUUAUAAUAAUUUAAUUAAUUUAUAAAAGAUCUUAAAUUUUUGAAUAAAGAAAAAGUUACCUAAGGGAUAACAGCGUUAUUAAUUUUUAGAGUCCUUAUCAAUAAAUUAGAUUGCGACCUCGAUGUUGAAUUAAAAAUCCUAAAUUUAGCAGAAUAAAUUUAAGGAAGUCUGUUCGACUUUUGAAUUUUUACAUGAUUUGAGUUCAGACCGGUGUAAGCCAGGUUAGUUUCUAUCUUUUUAGUUAAGAAAAAUUUUUAGUACGAAAGGAUUGAAAUUUAUAAAUAAUUUAUUAAAGAU